GUGCCAGCAGCCGCGGUAAUUCCAGCUCCAAUAGCGUAUAUUAAAGUUGUUGUGGUUAAAAAGCUCGUAGUUGAACCUUGGGCCUGGCUGGCCGGUCCGCCUCACCGCGUGCACUGGUCCGGCCGGGCCUUUCCCUCUGUGGAACCCCAUACCCUUCACUGGGCGUGGCGGGGAAACAGGACAUUUACUUUGAAAAAAUUAGAGUGCUCCAGGCAGGCCUAUGCUCGAAUACAUUAGCAUGGAAUAAUAAAAUAGGACGCGCGGUUCUAUUUUGUUGGUUUAUAGGACCGCCGUAAUGAUUAAUAGGGACAGUCGGGGGCAUCAGUAUUCAACUGUCAGAGGUGAAAUUCUUGGAUCAGUUGAAGACUAACUACUGCGAAAGCAUUUGCCAAGGAUGUUUUCAUUAAUCAGGAACGAAAGUUAGGGGAUCGAAGACGAUCAGAUACCGUCGUAGUCUUAACCAUAAACUAUGCCGACUAGGGAUCGGACGGUGUUAUUCAUGACCCGUUCGGCACCUUACGAGAAAUCAAAGUGCUUGGGCUCCAGGGGGAGUAUGGUCGCAAGGCUGAAACUUAAAGAAAUUGACGGAAGGGCACCACCAGGGGUGGAGCCUGCGGCUUAAUUUGACUCAACACGGGGAAACUCACCAGGUCCAGACACAAUAAGGAUUGACAGAUUGAGAGCUCUUUCUUGAUUUUGCGGGUGGUGGUGCAUGGCCGUUCUUAGUUGGUGGGUGACUUGUCUGCUUAAUUGCGAUACGAACGAGACCUUAACCUGCUAAAUAGCCCGCAUUGCUCGGCAGUGCGCUGGCUUCUUAGAGGGACUUUCGGCUCAGCGAGAGUUGAGGCAUACAGUCUGUGAUGCCUAGAUGUCUGGCGCACGCGCGCUAACCUGACGGGUCAGCUAGUCUGCGGAAGUCCGGAUUUUGGUAAGCCCGUCCGUCUGGAUAGAGCCU
This 955-nucleotide ribosomal RNA is filed under the name uncultured fungus. RNAcentral describes it as "SSU rRNA". It matches the Rfam family "Eukaryotic small subunit ribosomal RNA", at positions 564 to 1584 of the family's 1831-position model. Lineage: Eukaryota; Fungi. The record is from RNAcentral.